AGCCAGUGAUGAGACGUUUCCAUUUCUGACACCUCGUAUGAAACCUGCAUAUGCAGUUUGAUUAUAUAGCAAGGCUGAGGCUC
Molecule: small nucleolar RNA, 83 nt
Organism: Phascolarctos cinereus (koala)
Lineage: Eukaryota; Metazoa; Chordata; Mammalia; Diprotodontia; Phascolarctidae
Source: Ensembl